This 208-nucleotide ribosomal RNA is filed under the name Bacillus thuringiensis. RNAcentral's name for it is "partial 16S ribosomal RNA". It matches the Rfam family "Bacterial small subunit ribosomal RNA", at positions 1 to 202 of the family's 1533-position model. Lineage: Bacteria; Bacillati; Bacillota; Bacilli; Caryophanales; Bacillaceae. The record is from RNAcentral. RNAcentral also lists the same sequence under 1 other name.
UUUAUUGGAGAGUUUGAUCCUGGCUCAGGAUGAACGCUGGCGGCGUGCCUAAUACAUGCAAGUCGAGCGAAUGGAUUAAGAGCUUGCUCUUAUGAAGUUAGCGGCGGACGGGUGAGUAACACGUGGGUAACCUGCCCAUAAGACUGGGAUAACUCCGGGAAACCGGGGCUAAUACCGGAUAACAUUUUGAACUGCAUGGUUCGAAAUU